CCGUAGCUCAGCUGGAUAGAGCGCUGCCCUCCGAAGGCAGAGGCCACAGGUUCGAAUCCUGUCGGGUG
This 68-nucleotide transfer RNA is filed under the name Novosphingopyxis baekryungensis. It matches the Rfam family "tRNA", at positions 5 to 66 of the family's 71-position model. Rfam says of the family: Transfer RNA (tRNA) molecules are approximately 80 nucleotides in length. Lineage: Bacteria; Pseudomonadati; Pseudomonadota; Alphaproteobacteria; Sphingomonadales; Sphingorhabdaceae. The record is from RNAcentral. RNAcentral also lists the same sequence under 17 other names.